Long non-coding RNA from Gymnodraco acuticeps, 2817 nucleotides. RefSeq lists it as uncharacterized. The transcript is spliced from 3 exons. NCBI's taxonomy places the organism in Eukaryota, Metazoa, Chordata, Actinopteri, Perciformes, Bathydraconidae. The record is from RefSeq and is a predicted model, not a curated record.
UGAGUGGCGAACUGUGAUAAUAAGAUAUAUAUUUUUGCUCUUUGCAGGUAAGAACGGAGAGUUGGAAUUGUGUAAUUGAUGAGUGAAUAUGUUAUGUGUGAGUUUAUGAUCCCGGUUGGACUUUAUGUAGUAGUGUUUAUGAACGUUACUUGUUCAGCAAACGUAACGUACUGAAAAUGGCUAGCCAGUAGUUAGCACUGGUGGCCUAGUUAGCUUGAGCGAGCGUGAGGCGGGAAAGUAGAACUAUGAGCCGGUCUAAAGAGCCCGGACUGCUCGUGUAUAGUUAAUAGAUAAAUAAAUAAGUUAAAAGAGAUACAUAAUUGAUUUGGUUAAUGUGACAAUGUUAGGUAGACAUGAUUGGCUGACUGUAUCAGAGCAACAAAUUGAUAUUGAAUGUACAAGAUGAAACUGGUCUGGAAUAGCAAUGCAACAGACAUGAUUAUUGUUUGGAUGUUGAUGCAGAUGUUCAUUAUGUUUCUGUGUUAGUAUAGUAAAUACGUGCACAGAGAACGUAAACACACACUAGAGUGAAGUCACGGUGUAUGUGUGGCGAACUGUGAUAAUAAGAUAUAUAUUUUUGCUCUUUGCAGAACAAAAUAAAAGACUCAAAUUAAAUGUGUAGUGGAGGGCUACUUCACUCUGUACCACGCUACAUAUUCACUGAAUUUCACUCUGUCUUUAACGGCUCGUCGUUGGAGCUCCAAUAGCUCCAGCCCAUGGAUGUAUGGGUAAACCAUGCAUGUAUUCAGAGGGGUAAACACAGUUAAGCAGCCAUUCAACAGGACUGCUAAGAGAUAAACAUGAUGGGACAUUCCGCCGGUCGUCGUGGAAACGCUGAGAAAGCACAGCUGGGCGGGAGAAUAUGAGGUAAUCUCACCCUGGGGCUACUGGGUAAAUAUUGGUCUUAAAUAAGGAGUAAAACCCCAAAAGAGGCACACACACACACACACACACACACACACACACACAGGGGUUUAUCCCCAGUUGAAAACACACAGGACAGACCUUCACACAGAGACUCAUAAUAGCCCGUUUCCUGCUCUGCUCUGUUAUUAUUGUUUACACUGAGAGGGAAAUUAAUGAUAGUUUGUGGUAAGUAUAUGUGAAAGUAAACAGGUUUGACAGAAACAACCUCAGUUUAAAGAGGAAAUAUCAUCAAGAAGCCUGGAUGUUCAAUUCAGUUAUAGUUGGGGUAAGCAGCUUUUGGGAAAUUAGCAUGAGUAAACUAGAUUCUGAAAGUAUACACAUGGAAAACCCCCCUCACUUCAGGCUUUGUUCUAAAGCCACUACUCCAAAACAUUGGGAAGAGUUGGGAAGAUAAGUGCAGCACAUCCUUGUCAUCACUGACCAUACUUUUCUACAUCAUGUCUCUGGAACAAACAAGAAAACAACUCUGUAUAGGGACAUUUAGUCUGGAUAAGACUUUGGUCACGAACAAUGAGUUUUAUUAUGUAUGAUUGUAGGUAAAUGGGCUAUAUGUACAAUAUAACAAAAAAUGCUUCUAAAAACGAAUUCCCUACCCUUGCCUUAAAUUGAUAUAAACAUAGCAUGAAAAGUAAGGACAUUUGAGUUUGGGAGAUUACUGUACUAUAGAUUUGCAGUCAAGGUUUGCCGGACGAUAUGGCCGACGGCUCUCUGCCCAGACAAUCCAGACCAAACUGCACGCAACCAAUCUCAUCUCAUAGGGCUGCCAGGAGGCUGCUAUAACUGCGCUUAAAUUAAUAAAUUGUUAAAUUACCAAUAUGUCUGUUUAGUCAGACUUCAAUCAUCCAAUCCACCAAACAAGAAUCAACAGCAAAAAAAAGCUGUUUGGCAUUGGCAGAGAACAUUUGACACAUUUUUCAUUGGCGUAACCCACAGCUCUGGUUUAAACCUCUGGGGAUCAUGAAUAUCUGUAUCUAAUAUCAAGGUAUGCCAUUCAAUGUAGAUCGAAGAUAAGUACUGCAGAUUGUUGAUCAAGACAAACAAAUGCAAUGUAGCACUUCAGUCCAUAAACGCAUUAUUUUACAGCUCAUAGCAGAAAUACACUCUUGACACUAAACCCCUUGUGGAAUCAGCACUAGAUAGUUGUUAGUUUGGCCUUGACUGUAAUGUAUUGUCUUUCAUACUGUUUUGUAAAUCUUUCUCGCUCUGCCCAUCUUUUUAAAGUGUGCUUCUCAGGUACCUGUGUUGCUAAAGUUGUGGUUGGGUGUUGGAGGCGCGGUUGGCAGUAUGAAGAUUUGCUGAUUGAGCACACCUGGCUGCUGGCACCGGAGGAUUGAAAGGCCUGAGCCAGAGUCUCGAUCACUCUCUCCGCGGAGGACCUGUUCUGGGAGCGGCCACUCUCUCUUAUACUUUUGCCUUGCCUUUAUGUUAGUGUUGGUUCCCGUUGAGUUCUGGUUAAUAAAUAUAUUUUCUUAUAUAUAUUCUUGUCCUUUCCACACUUUUUGUUAUGGCCAAGAGCCAGGCGUGAAAGCGCCUAUUGUGUCUUACAAACUUGGCAGGCCGGAUUGGCAGGAUUAGAUUUCCUAACAACUACACUAGCUUUUGUGCAUAUGACACUAAAACCUUUGAAUUAAAGCAUGUUUUUGAAUGCAACAACUUGUGCCAUUACAUUAUUUUUAGUAAGUAAUGCAAGCCCCAAUAAUUGAAAUAACUUAAUAACAGAAUGUUUUCUUUGAAAUGAAUUUUAUUCAAAACAUAAUGCAAGUUAUUGAAAGAAGUUAAUAUUAUUAAGCACACUGAGCAGUGCAGCUGCAGGCGAGGUGGGCUUCUGCUGUUUCCCUCAGGUCCACGCUCUUAUCAUAGAUAUUCUCGGGGCAAUUCUGGGCAGCAUCU